UAGUCUUUGUACCCGGCUUUGAUGAAGAUGACGAAUACAGGAAAGAAAAGUGAAAAAAGCUGAUUAGCGGAGAGAGCGAGGACGUAGGAAAACUUAAAAGAAGUCAAGGAAAAGACAAAAGAGCCUGAGGGCGAUUUGUGACGACGCAUGUCUUUAACGCAAUUCUGAAUCCUCGAGAAUCU
Molecule: non-coding RNA, 182 nt
Organism: Caenorhabditis elegans
Lineage: Eukaryota; Metazoa; Nematoda; Chromadorea; Rhabditida; Rhabditidae
Source: Ensembl